This 67-nucleotide transfer RNA is filed under the name Heterotermes convexinotatus. RNAcentral's name for it is "tRNA-Leu". It matches the Rfam family "tRNA". Rfam says of the family: Transfer RNA (tRNA) molecules are approximately 80 nucleotides in length. Their secondary structure includes four short double-helical elements and three loops (D, anti-codon, and T loops). Further hydrogen bonds mediate the characteristic L-shaped molecular structure. tRNAs have two regions of fundamental functional importance: the anti-codon, which is responsible for specific mRNA codon recognition, and the 3' end, to which the tRNAs corresponding amino acid is attached (by aminoacyl-tRNA synthetases). tRNAs cope with the degeneracy of the genetic code in two manners: having more than one tRNA (with a specific anti-codon) for a particular amino acid; and 'wobble' base-pairing, i.e. permitting non-standard base-pairing at the 3rd anti-codon position. The record is from RNAcentral. Lineage: Eukaryota; Metazoa; Arthropoda; Insecta; Blattodea; Rhinotermitidae.
UCUAAUGUGGCAGAUAAGUGCAUUGGAUUUAAGCUCCAAAUAUAAAGCCUCAAGGCCUUCAUUAGAA